GCUAACGUGCAUUUUAGAUUGACUCCUAGCUUGCUAGAAUUAGCUCACUAGUGGAUUUUGGUGUUCACGGUAAUCAUCUAAAAAAGCAUUCACCUUGAUUUUAUGUAUAGUCUGGGCUAGAAAACAUGAUUAAUGCUAGGGUUGUGCAUGGUUCUUGAACUCGAGAACCAAAGUAAAAUCGAAAAAGAACGAACAUUAUAGGAACUGAAUCAAACUUACGUUAUUGUUUUGGUUCUUUGUCAAAAUUUGAAUUGAACAAGACUCAAAACAAUGCGCCAAAAGAACACAGAGAAAGACGAUGGUUUUGGUAGGAAAGACAAAACAAGGACUAAACGGAAUAUGAAUAGACAAACUCUUAAAGUAAGGAAUAAACACACUAGAUAGGAGGAUUAAACUAGAACAAAUUUGCUUUGAAGAAGGAACAAAACACUCCACUUUGAGAGAAAACUAGCUCACGCCAAGAAGACAAGAAACUAACUAAUUGAAAUUGAAAAUGAUGUAAACUUAAUGAAACAAGCAAUAAACACGCCAAAAUAAAGGAACACUCAUUUUAUGGUUUUUAUGGUUUUAUGAACAUAAACACAAAAACAAUGAUAGAAAUGUAGAAAAGAGAGAUAGCUAAGGUGAUGUAAGCUCCUUUGAUAAGAUGGAAUCGCUACAAAGAAGAAACCCACCAAGUAAAGACGCCACAAUCCUAGCUAGGGAAUGUGAUAAGUCAAACAAGAUGCCACAAUCAAGGUUAUUGCCAAGUUUAAAAUCUUCACUACUCUUAAGAGUGAUC
Molecule: unclassified non-coding RNA, 781 nt
Filed under: Hevea brasiliensis (rubber tree)
Lineage: Eukaryota; Viridiplantae; Streptophyta; Magnoliopsida; Malpighiales; Euphorbiaceae
Source: RNAcentral